GUCAAGUCAUCAUGGUCCUUACGCCCAGGGCUACACACGUGCUACAAUGGCCGGGACAAACCGAAGCGAUGCCGUGAGGCGGAGCGAAUCUCUUAAAGCCGGUCUCAGUUCGGAUCGGGGUCUGCAACUCGACCCCGUGAAGUCGGAGUCGCUAGUAAUCGCAGAUCAGCAACGCUGCGGUGAAUACGUUCCCGGGCCUU
This 200-nucleotide ribosomal RNA is filed under the name uncultured organism. RNAcentral's name for it is "partial small subunit ribosomal RNA". It matches the Rfam family "Bacterial small subunit ribosomal RNA", at positions 1184 to 1382 of the family's 1533-position model. The record is from RNAcentral.